Molecule: ribosomal RNA, 260 nt
Filed under: uncultured bacterium
Lineage: Bacteria
Description: partial 16S ribosomal RNA
Rfam family: Bacterial small subunit ribosomal RNA
Source: RNAcentral
GUCCUAGCAGUAAACGAUGGAGGCUGGCUGUGGGCGGUUUGACCCCGUCGGCGGCUGAGCUAACGCGCAAGCCUCCCGCCUGGGGAGUACGGCCGCGAGGCUAAAACUCAAAGGAAUUGACGGGGGCCCGCACAAGCAGCGGAGCGUGUGGUUUAAUUCGACGCGACGCGUAGCACCUUACCAGGGCUUGACAUGGACGUGCAAACCCCGGAAACGGGGCUUCCUUCGAGGGUCGUCCACAGAUGCUGCAUGGCUGUCGU